RNAcentral lists this ribosomal RNA (253 nucleotides) under uncultured bacterium. RNAcentral's name for it is "partial 16S ribosomal RNA". It matches the Rfam family "Bacterial small subunit ribosomal RNA", at positions 524 to 776 of the family's 1533-position model. The record is from RNAcentral.
UACGUAGGGGGCAAGCGUUGUCCGGAAUCAUUGGGCGUAAAGAGCGUGUAGGCGGUUCGGUAAGUCUGCUGUGAAAGUCCAGGGCUCAACCCUGGGAUGCCGGUGGAUACUGUCGAACUUGAGUCCGGAAGAGGCGGGUGGAACUCCUGGUGUAGCGGUGAAAUGCGCAGAUAUCAGGAAGAACACCAAUGGCGAAGGCAGCCCGCUGGGACGUGACUGACGCUGAGACGCGAAAGCGUGGGGAGCAAACAGG